GUGGGGAAUUUUGCGCAAUGGGGGAAACCCUGACGCAGCGACGCCGCGUGGAGGACGAAGGCCUUCGGGUUGUAAACUCCUUUUAUGAGGGAAGAUAGUGACGGUACCUCAUGAAUAAGCCACGGCUAACUCUGUGCCAGCAGCCGCGGUAAGACAGAGGUGGCAAGCGUUGUUCGGAAUUACUGGGCUUAAAGGGCGCGUAGGCGGUACGGUAAGUCUGAAGUGGAAUCCCGGGGCUCAACCCCGGAAUUGCUUUGGAAACUGCCGCACUUGAGUCAGUGAGGGGAGGGCGGAAUUCCUGGUGUAGCAGUGAAAUGCGUAGAUAUCAGGAGGAAGGCCGGUGGCGAAGGCGGCCCUCUGGCACUUGACUGACGCUGAGGCGCGAAAGCGUGGGGAGCAAACAGGAUUAGAUACCCUAGUAGUCC
RNAcentral lists this ribosomal RNA (425 nucleotides) under uncultured bacterium. RNAcentral describes it as "bacterial SSU rRNA". It matches the Rfam family "Bacterial small subunit ribosomal RNA", at positions 354 to 796 of the family's 1533-position model. The record is from RNAcentral.